This is a long non-coding RNA of Manis javanica (Malayan pangolin), 972 nucleotides long. RefSeq lists it as uncharacterized. NCBI's taxonomy places the organism in Eukaryota, Metazoa, Chordata, Mammalia, Pholidota, Manidae. The record is from RefSeq and is a predicted model, not a curated record.
AUCUCGUGUCUGUUUCUCUUUCUCUCUCCCUCUCUUGCGCUGUCCCUCAUUCAUUCACUCUUCCAUCUUUUUGCCAUUGUGCCAGCUCAGUUUAAAUGUAUCUGCUCUGUAUCUGUUCAAGUGGAGAUAAUCCAUGCAAAUCAGGAGCAGCGGCGUUCAGUGCUUGGUGCACAGAGAGGACUCAGCUUGAAGAGGUCACUCGUUCACAGCCGCUCCUCCCAUGACAUUUUUCCCCUUAUUGCAGAACUGCUGUAUGUAUACAGUGACUGAAAGGACUCAAUUUACUGCAACUGCUGCCUGGCUUUACUCACAACUUUUCUUUUUUAUAAAGGAACUUACCUCCAUCUGUCUUUUCAAGGGUAGAAAAGGUCCCUUUAACUCCUGAAGACAGUAAAUCAGAGUUUGUGUGGUGGUUCUCAGAAGACACUUAAAGGACUGAACUGGAUGCUCUACAUAGCACCUCUGCCAAAAGAGUUCGGAAAUGACUUCCAGCUUCCCACAGUAAUAAAAUGGCACUGUUUGGCAUCUUUGAGGUCACAGACCACUUACUCUAGCCCUCGCAGCUAGUUCUGAAGAACAUGGAGCCUUCAUAGAUUCACAAGGACAAGAACUCAUCAUAAUGGACUUGAUAAUACAACACUAGCAGACCUGCUGUGUGCAGUGCCCAUCUGAGUUAGAGCUUUUAGCGUGGUUAAUUGAUACAGUUACUCCAGAACAAGUCUAUGAGGCAUUUUGUGUGGCUCUAAGUUUUAAAAGCCGCUCUUUUUCCCUUUGACAGGGCUGCCUAUUCUUCAGACAGACCUCAUUAUCAUUUACCUUUACAUGAGGGGUGGCAUAUAAUUACUGCCUAGUAAAUAGUUUCUUUUGCAAUAUCUAUGAUGUUCAAAGACAGCAGAGUUCAAAAAGGUCCAGGGGAAGGGAAGUCUGUAGCCUUCCGAGAAUGACAAAUAGCCACCAGGGAGAGAAAAGAAA